UGCUCACAGCUCUGCCUCUCCGCAGGGUCCAUCCGAAGGCAGCCCUUAGAAAAGGUGGAGAAUGACACUGAGCACUCCUUACACAGCUCUGCACAAUUCCUGCUGCUCCCCACUGCCAGCGAGUGUUCCCACAGAUACUGAAAUCCUGCCUGGAAAAGUUUCUGAACAGCCUGUUCAAGCCUGAUCCAUCUUGACUGGAAGGGCUGGAUAAGAUCUCCAGAGGUCCCUUCCAACAUCAGCAAUUCUGUGAUUCUUUGGAGAUCCCUGAAGAUCUGGGAUGCAGCACCUGAAUCAACCAAAGUGUGAGGACAAGAUGUGAACUGCUCUAGAUCCUGCCGAGGCUGAGCCGAGUGUUUUCCUACUCUAAGCAGCCCUUUGAAACCCACCAGCCCCAGCUCUGUUCCCAGAGCAGCCAAGUUUGUUUUUAACUGCCUGCUGCCAAGAGAACUCCCAGCUCACCAGGACAAUCCAAAACCAGGAGAAGGCUUUUCCAGAAGUGCACUGGGCACUCUGCAAGCCAAGAGCAUCUCUGUCCCUGCCACUUGGUGCCCACAGACAGAGCUGUGCUGGGCUGGAAGCCAGGCCCAGCUGGGAACCAGAAAAGCUGGUUUAAAUAAAACAAAAGGUUUCUGUUUCUGCA
Molecule: long non-coding RNA, 640 nt
Organism: Poecile atricapillus (Black-capped chickadee)
Lineage: Eukaryota; Metazoa; Chordata; Aves; Passeriformes; Paridae
Exons: 4
Source: RefSeq, a predicted model, not a curated record